RNAcentral lists this ribosomal RNA (1479 nucleotides) under Triticum aestivum (bread wheat). Its description in RNAcentral is "partial small subunit ribosomal RNA". Lineage: Eukaryota; Viridiplantae; Streptophyta; Magnoliopsida; Poales; Poaceae. The record is from RNAcentral.
AUGAUGGUGCGCCUCCGAGCAUCCGAUUCGACGCCGAAAGUUUCCGACAUGAAACAACGUCGCCGGCGCCGGCGCCGGCGCUGUCGCAAACGCGGGGACGCUGGGGUCAUCCUGCCGACCGAGCUAGUCCUCGAGAUCCUCAAGCGCGCCUCGCCAUCCACUGUUGCCCGCUGCGCCGUCACCUGCCGGCCGUGGCUCCGCCUGGUGUCGCGUCGCUCCUUCGCCCGCCGCGCGGCCCGUCCGCGGCGCGCGCUCCUGCUAGGCUUCUUCGCGUUCGACCACGCGGAGGACGACGAGCAGGCGAUGCUCCCGCCGCGCUUCGUGGAGUGUCCGGGCGGCCCGGCCGGCUGGCGGUGCCCGUGCGUCCCGCGGCUCGACCCUCGCUGCCGCGACCUGGACCCCGUCCUGUCCCGCAACGGCUAUCUCGUGCUCAGCCGCGCCGCCGUCCUCGCCGGCACCCCGACCACCAUCAACUACUGCGUGUGCAACCCCUCCACCGGCCUCUGCCACUUUCUGCCGCCGUACCGGGUCCACGACGACAUCGGGUUCUGGGAGUACGGCUGCGCGUUGCUCACCGGGAGAGACCUGCGCAGCCGCGCAUCACCGCCGCCGAUCUCAUCAUUCGAGCUCGUCUUGGCAGCGAUCCACAUGGAAGAGCAUGUGCUCUGGGUAGACAGCUUCUCCUCCUCCACGAUGAGCUGGAGCCCGACGUGUCGCCUCGAGAUCCCGUACGUCCCCAUCGCUAUGGUUGACGAAUGGCGGGAGUGGGACUUCACGUCCCGGCCCCGGUCCCGGUCCCCGCUUCGCCAAUCCUGGACGAGCCUGGAGAUGCACCCAAAGAACCUCCCGGUGGUCGACGAGGACGGCGUCAUCUACUGGCAGUGCUCCCGCGACCACGGCGCCGGCGCCGCCCGGGUCGCGCUGGCGCUGGACAUGCGAUGGCGAGGGCACGUCGAGCUGCUGGACCUCCCGGGCGAAAGCCGCUGCUCCGGCGCGUACUGGGACUUCGGCGUCGUGCUCGGCUGCCGCAGCAGCGACGGCGCGCUCCUCGCCUUCGGGCUGGCCGAGUACGACGGCCCCGUGCUCAAGAGAUGGUGGACCGUGAAGAGAAGUGUCGAUCGCUCCAUUCCCACGGGGUGCACCUGGCACCGCGGCGGCGACGUCGAUCUGCGCCGGGCGAUCUCAAGCUGCUGCUGCGGCGGGGACGCUGUCGACGACAUUGGCGGCGUGAAGCUGCUGUGGUACUGCGAGAAGAGCAACGUGCUGGUGUUCAACACGGUUGCCCUGGGCAGCUUCGCGCUGGAUCUCAAGACCGGGCGCGCCGAGGCGGUCGGGGAGGUCCUGCGCUGCAAAUCGGAGUUCUGUGCGAGGAAUGCUUAUAUAUGGUGGAGGGCUUGCCCGUACGAGAUUGACUGCCCGCUUACGUGGAUCACGUCCCCAAGCGAUAAUACUAGACGGGUCUCUCUAGGACACAUCUAG